This 411-nucleotide long non-coding RNA is filed under the name Trifolium pratense (red clover). RNAcentral describes it as "long non-coding RNA (TPRA_LNC003586)". Lineage: Eukaryota; Viridiplantae; Streptophyta; Magnoliopsida; Fabales; Fabaceae. The record is from RNAcentral.
AACAUGUGUGGUGAUGGGUUUGUUUUGGAUUGUGUCAAACAGUGAUGGUGAGAUGGUGCGAGAACUUGCGGCGAGAAGACAAUUGUGGGAGGUGAGAGGUUGAGUUUUUUUUUUUUGUAUACAAAAUAAAAAUAAAAUAAAUGGAUAGAAAUUAAAACCGGUAACCAAGCAAAAGAAUAAAAUAAGUGGCUUAUGUGGCUUUGCAUGAGUGGGUGUGUCUAAAAGUGUGUGUUAAAGAGUGUGACUAUAGCAUUACUCUUGGUGGUUUCAUGGUGGUCAGAAGCAUUAAUUCAAGACAUGCACAAGUUUCUUUUUGUGUUCUUGGAUUUUACUCAAAAUCUUCUAGUGAGAGAAAGAGGUAAUAUGUUAGAGAGAAUUUGUGGUGAGGGAAAGUGGAAAGGUUCAGCGCUG